Suricata suricatta (meerkat) is the source of this 1411-nucleotide long non-coding RNA. RefSeq lists it as uncharacterized. The transcript has 4 exons. The record is from RefSeq and is a predicted model, not a curated record. Lineage: Eukaryota; Metazoa; Chordata; Mammalia; Carnivora; Herpestidae.
AGGGAGGGAGGUUCCCAAGUAGGCUUCACACCCAGUGUGAAGCCCAAUGCGGACCUCGAUCCCAAAGACAGAUCAUGGCCUGAGCUGAAGAGUUGGACACUUCACCAACUGAGCCACCCAGGCGCCCCAGCAAAUAUAACUUUUAUGCCAAUAAUAAUAGAUGGCCAGUGUGGUUGAUAGCCUUCUAAAAUAAUCCCAAUGAUCCCGACUUCCUAAAUAUGCCCUUCUAUCUGUCCCCCUUGAAUGUAAUCUGGAUUUAGUGACUUCUAAUUAAGAGAAGAAGGCAAAGGAAAAGACUCCUAUUUUUAAAACUUUAUUUUUGAGAGAGAAUGAGUGGAGAGAGAAACAUGCUCCACACUGUCAGCACAGAGCCCGGUGUGCAGCUUGAUGUCAGGAACCACGUGAUCAGGACCUGAGCCAAAAUCAGCAGUCAGAGGUUUAACGACUGAACCACCCAGGCGCCCCAAGAGACUCUUACUCUUAAGAUUAGGUUACAGAAGACUGUGACUUCCAUCUUGCUUUCAUUCUCUCUUGCCUUUCACUUGCUUGAGCUCCUGGAGCCAGCUGCCAUGCUGUGAGUUGUCCGGCGCAGAGGACUAUGUAGCAAGGAGCCCCGGCAGAACUCAGUCGAAAGCCUGUGAAGAACCAAGGCUGUCAGUCCAAAAUCCGGCAAGGACCCAAAACCUGCAGACCACCACUUGAGGGUGUUUGGAAGCGGAUCCACCCCAGUCAAGCCUGAAGAUGAGCACAGCCCCAGCAACACCUUGACCGGAGCCUGUGAGAAGCCGAGAACCAGAGGACCCAGCUCCACUGUGAUUGGAUUCUUGACACACAGACACUGUGAAAUAAGAAAUGAUGUGUUAAGCCAUGAAACUUUGGUGUAAUUUGUGAUGCAACAAUAGGAAACAAAUACAAGAAAUGACUAUUGCAUGGGACCAGAUACUGGGUCAGUUCUCUACUUUCAAAUGAAAAUGAGAACAAAAAUCCACACUACACUCAGGUAGAGGAUCUUAAUGCCUGUGAUCUCUGCCCACAAGAAACUAUGGCCAUUAGAAUUUCCUGGAACAUGAUAUGGUUUCCUUUGAGAGGAAUGAGAAGUGAGUGGAGAGAGAGCUUUCCUCCUCCAUGACACUUGGCCCCACUGAGUUAUUGGGAGCUGGCAAGUGAGCACAGAGCUGGGUACCAGCGGGGAGAGUGAGUUUGGUUCAUCAAAGGACACAGAAAGGGGAGACCAAUGAGAACAUUGUUAUCGAAACCACUAGAAAGAUGCAGGAAAGAAGAAAGACCCUGCUCUCUCUUCCACCUUCCAGAAUGACUCCAGAAGCCAGUCUUCCAGAUGGUGUAGCUACAAGAUGGAAGAAAGGUCUUCUGUCCCAUAUCAGACUUCACAUGAGGGGUAAAUAAAACAUUA